Molecule: long non-coding RNA, 1118 nt
Filed under: Marmota monax (woodchuck)
Lineage: Eukaryota; Metazoa; Chordata; Mammalia; Rodentia; Sciuridae
Source: RNAcentral
GCAUCCAGUCCAGAUGCAGGGAGUAGGAUCUGCUUGGGGCCCAGGCCCUGGGGCCUGUCCCAGCCAUACCUCCUGCCUCCAAGUGUCCCCACCGCCAGCAUCAGGAAGGCCCCACAGUCCUGGCAGUCCCCUGAUCCUGGAGGUGCUGGGGUGUCUGCUGCUUGCUGGAGGUAGACAUGCAUGUGUCGACCCCGAGCUCUGCUCCUCUCCACAGGAUGAGAAGGAGCAGCUGAAUGAGUAUAAGGGGCACCUCUCUGGCUUGGCCAAGAGAGCCAAGGCCAUUGUGCAGCUGAAACCUCGCAACCCGGCUUACCCCAUCCGAGGCCCUGUGCCCCUGCUGGCUGUAUGUGAUUACAAGCAGGUGGAGGUGAGGGCUGAGCCAGGUGGGGCGGUCCGACUGGAGGGGGUGGGCAGAGGCAUGAGCAUGACCACAUUGUCAUCACCUCUGGCUGUCCCAGGUGACUGUGCACAAGGGUGACCAGUGCCAGCUGAUGGGCCCUGCUCAGCCAUCUCACUGGAAAGUGCUUAGCAGCUCUGGCAGUGAGGCUGCUGUGCCCUCCGUGUGCUUCCUUGUGCCCCCACCCAACCAGGAAGCCCAGGAAGCCAUCACCAGGUGGGUGGCCUAUGGGGUCCUUGACUGGAAGGGGUGGAUAGUGGGCAGGGCCUCAAAACCCUUGACUGUGACCCUGACCUGCCAGGCUGGAGGCCCAGCACCAGGCCCUCGUUGCACUGUGGCACCAGCUGCAUGUGGACAUGAAGAGCCUUCUGGCAUGGCAGAGCCUCAGCCGUGAUGUGCAGCUCAUCCGUUCCUGGUCCCUGGUCACGGUAUGACUGCCCACUGGCCAUGGACAUUCUGGGGGAGAAGAGGAAGUGGUGUCCUGUGGGGAGCCAGCUAGCCUCAUCCCACGUUAACCCCCAUGUCCACCCCCAGUUCCGCACGUUGAAGCCUGAGGAACAGCGCCAAGCCCUACGCAGCCUGGAGUUGCACUACCAGGCCUUCCUGCGGGACAGCCAGGAUGCUGGCAGCUUUGGGCCAGAGGACCGGCUGGUGGCGGAACGCGAGUACAGCUCUUGUAGCCGCCAUUACCAGCAGCUGCUACAGAGCUUGGAGCAGGGUA